UUACUCAGAAACCUCACCCAUAACACAUGGCUGUAAAAACCUGCUCGCCUUUCAACUUUUAAGGAGCAGAGCAGGUUUCCGGAGGAACCAGACUCAAGGGGAGCCCCAGGGAAGAGCCAAAGCAGCUGGGAAUUUGAUACCCCGGUGCUCCAAAGCUAAAAGAAGAAUUAGAAGAAAGCUGCAUGAAUAAAGAUGGGAUCCUUCAUGAUACAGAAAAGACCUCAGCAGAAAUGCUGGCCCAAUGGGAGGAUGCUAUGUGGGAAAAGAAGCUUCUUGAGCAAAUGGUUAAAGAAUUGCAGCAAAAGUUGGAGGACCGAGAAAAAACCUUCGAGAGAUUUAGAGACAAACUCACAAAGGAAAUGAGAGAAAGAGACGACCUUCUGAGAAAGAUGAAUGAGAGGAUUCAGAUGCUGGAACGCUUACUGAAGUUACUAGAAACACUAGAGGAACAGGACAUGAAGAAAGAAGAGCAGGCCAAAAGAGAGGCAGCUGAAAGGGAAAACGAGCCUCUUGAACAAAAGGUUAAAGAACUGCAGCAAAAAUCGGAGAACCAAGAAAAAGUCUUCGAAGUAUUAAGAGACAAAAUGACAGAGGAGUUGAAUGAAAGAGAGAAAGCCUCAGCAGAAGAGCAGAUCAGAGGAGAGGCCACUGAGAGGGAAAAGGAGUCUCUUGAAAAACAGGUUAAAGAAUUGCAGCAAAAUUUGGAGGACCAAGGAAGAGUCUUCCAGAGAUUAAGAACUGAAAUGACAGAGGAGAUGAGAGAAAAUGAAAAGGCCUCAGCAGAAGAGCAGGCCAAAAGAGAGGCUGCUGAGAGGGAAAAGCUUUUAGAGCAAAAGCUUAAAGAAUUGCAACAAAAGUUUGAGGACCAAGAAAGAGCCUUCAAGGUAUUUAGAGUCCAAAUGACAGAAGAGGUGAGAGAAAGAGACAAUUUUCUGAGAAAGAUGAAUGAGAGGAUUGAGAUGCUGGAGGCUGCAGUGAACAAUGAUAAUGACAAGGAUAAUGAGGAAAACACUGAAAAGUACUGAACUUCAUAGACACAGGAAGAUAAUGACAAAGAAAAUACUUCACAGCCUUUUGUUUUAAUCUCUGUUUGGGAGAAUAUAAAACAUGUGUGGUCACUAAUUACUCAGAUUUUUUGUUUGUUUCUUUUAAAUUCUGGUAAUAUUAAAAGUUUUCACAAGUGCUUUUUUGAUCUGGAUUAUUUCUAUCUAUGUAUGUACUUUUUCUUUUAUCAUUAAAGUUUUAAUGUAAAAAGUAGAAACAUCAUCUACUAUAGAACAUCAAUUCCUGGCCCACAAAGGAAAGAAUUAGUGUGGCUGGAUAAUUAAUUUAAGUGGAAAUGGAAGCAACUGAGUAGAAGACAAAGAGGUCAAGUUUGUAAUAUCUUGAAAAAAAGAAAAAUUUUAUUAAGUAAUGCUUCUGAAAGUCACAUAUGAAUAAUUAUACAAAUGAAUAUGUAUACUGG
This 1465-nucleotide long non-coding RNA is filed under the name Bos mutus (wild yak). RNAcentral describes it as "lncRNA (ENSBMUG00000003206.1)". The record is from RNAcentral. Lineage: Eukaryota; Metazoa; Chordata; Mammalia; Artiodactyla; Bovidae.